Long non-coding RNA from Dendroctonus ponderosae (mountain pine beetle), 2134 nucleotides. RefSeq lists it as uncharacterized. The record is from RefSeq and is a predicted model, not a curated record. Lineage: Eukaryota; Metazoa; Arthropoda; Insecta; Coleoptera; Curculionidae. The transcript is spliced from 2 exons.
AGCAAAAGCCUCAGUUUUCUUUAACGAUUUGGGAGUGUUUCUGUUGUGAUUUGCCAAUGUUUUGUUAAAUGUUCCAUUACGCUUCGUAUGAUUUGAGAUAAGGCUUGAUUGGAGCAACGAGUGCUUUUAUUGUUGUUAAAAUUGCCUAAAACAGAAGCUGUGCUAUUGAAUGGAAUUACUACAUCUCCACGUGAACAACUUUGUUUAGCCAGAGAAGCGAUAUUAGAAAUAAAAACUAAAACAUGUUGGUCCUUCGAACAGGAUGAAUGAAACUUCGAUGAUUUUUUUCCAACAAUUAGGAGUCAGCAUUUCGUUUUGACCAGUCGUUAAUCUUAACGAUCGGUUUUGUUUUAUGGUUCAGAAUAAAAAGGUAGAUAGGAAUUAAGUGGGAAUCUGGGAAAUAAUAUGACAUUGACGACAGUAUCAGUAGUAAAAUUUAGACGAUUUUACUAUUUUAUUAAUCCAAAUUGUUGCCAUAUCGAUUCCAAAAAAGAAUUUCUUGCGACUUAUAAUGGAAACAGCUCAAACGAAAGAUACUAUUAUUUGGUUGUUAUCAGGUCUGAGUCAAAAACUCUUAUGUCUAUCGAAAAUGUAAGUUGUUAUAACAUAACAUUUUAACAAAAAAUUUUCGUAAUUAGAGCUAUUAGAUAAUUCCAUAUUGAUGGAAUUAUACAUACCGAUUUAGCAAAUAAAAAAAUUAAAUUCUUACUCAACAAAAUAAUCCGUACAGGACCAGAUUUGAGUUCACUUUGGAAGUGAGUAAAUUCUGAUUGCUGUAAUCGAUUUUAAUUCUGUACGAAGUUUUAAAUAGUCAAUUUUUUUUCUGCCAGUCCUUGCCCUGGCAAAAAUUAAGUAAUUCAAAUAAAAUUCCGACAGGGUGGAAAAUGAAACAAUGCAAAAUUUUCCAAAGUUUGGCUUCCUCCCAGUUGCGCAAAAGAACAUUUUUUUGGACUUCAAGAGCAAAGGCAUAAAGGUAGAUUUCAUAUCUCGAAUCGGGUUUUCGCCCUUUUCGAUUAUUUACAGGGUGAUCCCAAAAAAAAUAGCAUUUUUUUUGGACAUACAUAUUGUUGUAGGUAAAACUUCAUAGUUAUCUUAAGACAAAAAUUCAAAUCAGAACUUCCCUCGAAAUCUAGGAUUCUGGCAAAUUUUUAGCUAAAGUGAAGUUCACUAUCGAACCAUCCGUUUAUUCAUGCAACUCUUUACAUGGACUUUUAGCUUAAGUCGACUAUUAAGUUUUAGCUUCAACAUGAGCUCUAGGUAGAUCCUGAAAAUCGGGCCAAGAGGAAAAAUAUGAUCAAUGCAAGCCCAAAAGUUGAUUUUUUGAUAUCACCCUGUAAAAAAAACCAAAUUCAAACACUGUCUUUGCCUCUCUCUAUCUUAAUAUCUCUUUCAUGGUAAAAACAGUUUUUUCUUUGUUCAAUCGGGAGCAUGCCAAACUGUAAAAAUGUUCAUUCUUUGGUUUUUCUCCGUGUAGAAACUCUAAAUUAUUAAAUUUUUUGCAAAUACCCGGAUGGACAGAAAAAGAACAGAACUAGACAAUGGAUUCUUCAAAAAGAAAUUAAAUCGCUGGUAGCAAUAGGAAUAUAUCCAGUUUCAAAUUUAGGGCAAAUUUGGCAAUGUAAUUUUUAUUGUGUUGAGCAGUUUACAUCAAGCAACAAAAAAAAAUUCAAAUGUAUUGUUGUAUUGUAUUAUUAUCUUAUUUCUAUUGCCUGAAUUCUCAUUUAGUUUUGAAUUUGUAAAAAAAAUUAUUGUCGAAUGUCGAUUUUUUUUUAUUACUUGCUUUUUUAGCACGAACCUGCGCAAGAUUAGAAAAUUGUCAUUUAGAUAAGGAUAUAAUGAAACACGAAUGCAAGAUGCAUAAUAACUACUUUCAGAGUAUUUAGUUUAAUGUAUUGAAAUUGCCUUCAAAUUAAGUGAUAUAAGUAGGUACUCAUUAAACUUAAUCGACAGUGCAUGAAAUUGAUAGUAAAGUAUGUACUGCUUUUGACUUUUGAAGUAUUCCUUUAAGCGAAAAUGUAUUUUCUAUUGUUCAUGGCCAGUUUUAAUUGGAAAUCACUUGAAUCUAUUUUCAAAAAUGUGUACUUUUUAUACAUAUAUUAACCCCAAACUAAUAAAUCUUAUCGAAUGAAUCAUG